This 445-nucleotide ribosomal RNA is filed under the name uncultured bacterium. Its description in RNAcentral is "partial 16S ribosomal RNA". It matches the Rfam family "Bacterial small subunit ribosomal RNA", at positions 354 to 796 of the family's 1533-position model. The record is from RNAcentral.
GUGAGGAAUAUUGGUCAAUGGGCGGGAGCCUGAACCAGCCAAGUCGCGUGAAGGAAGAAGGAUCUAUGGUUCGUAAACUUCUUUUGCAGGGGAAUAAAGUGCAGGACGUGUCCUGUUUUGUAUGUACCCUGAGAAUAAGGAUCGACUAACUCCGUGCCAGCAGCCGCGGUAAUACGGAGGAUCCGAGCGUUAUCCGGAUUUAUUGGGUUUAAAGGGUGCGUAGGUGGUUUGAUAAGUCAGCGGUGAAAGUUUGCAGCUUAACUGUAAAAAUGCCGUUGAAACUGUCGGACUUGAGUGUAAAUGAGGUAGGCGGAAUGCGUGGUGUAGCGGUGAAAUGCAUAGAUAUCACGCAGAACUCCGAUUGCGAAGGCAGCUUACUAAGCUACAACUGACACUGAAGCACGAAAGCGUGGGGAUCAAACAGGAUUAGAUACCCCGGUAGUCC